RNAcentral lists this unclassified non-coding RNA (389 nucleotides) under fungal sp. Its description in RNAcentral is "partial internal transcribed spacer region". The stretch from base 1 to 46 matches the Rfam family "Eukaryotic small subunit ribosomal RNA", at positions 1786 to 1831 of the family's 1831-position model. Lineage: Eukaryota; Fungi. The record is from RNAcentral.
AAGUCGUAACAAGGUUUCCGUAGGUGAACCUGCGGAAGGAUCAUUAACACGUAUCCAAACGUUAAACCCCCCUGUGAACCUUCAGUCGUACUCGUACGUCCGUUAGAAAAACGUCCCUGCAAGGAGCGUGCAUGUUGUGCGUGUAAGUUGCCUGGCAUCCCCAAGCAGUUAGUGUCUGAAAGUGUCACUAACGUUAGUGUCUGAAAGUGUCACUAACAUGUGUAAGGAUGACGCAGUCACGAUCGUUGGAGGCCCACACGGCCGACGACCGGGUCACUGGGUGCAAGCCCCCUUAUCACACCCCUGCUCUAUCUAUGGUGAUCCUGCGGGAAGUCCUGCGGUCGAACGCCGAAACCGAACAACUGUUAACAAUGGAUAUCUUGGUUCUC